This 464-nucleotide ribosomal RNA is filed under the name uncultured bacterium. RNAcentral's name for it is "partial 16S ribosomal RNA". It matches the Rfam family "Bacterial small subunit ribosomal RNA", at positions 339 to 795 of the family's 1533-position model. The record is from RNAcentral.
CUACGGGUCGCUGCAGUGAGGAAUAUUGCGCAAUGGGGGAAACCCUGACGCAGCGACGCCGCGUGGAUGAUGAAGGCCUUAGGGUCGUAAAAUCCUGUCAGGUGGGAAGAAGUGGAUAUAGAUUAAUACUCUAUUUCUUUGACGGUACCACCAAAGGAAGCACCGGCUAACUCCGUGCCAGCAGCCGCGGUAAUACGGAGGGUGCAAACGUUGUUCGGAAUUACUGGGCGUAAAGCGCGCGUAGGCGGUUUGUUAAGUCAGAUGUGAAAGUCCAUGGCUCAACUAGGGAAGUGCAUUUGAACUGGCAGACUUGAGUACUGGAGGGGGUGAUGGAAUUCCAGGUGUAGAGGUGAAAUUCGUAGAUAUCGGGAGGAAUACCGGUGGCGAAGGCGAUCACCUGGCCAGAUACUGACGCUGAGGUGCGAAAGAGUGGGGAGCAAACAGGAUUAGAUACCCGAGUAGUC